GUACUAACCUGACAGGGGAGUGACGGUGAUCACAAGGCUUUUCUCCCGGGCUGAGGCUCGUCCACUGCACUCCCGGUGGGCCAACGCCUGCCAUGUCCGAAAUGUGGGACAGUCGAAUAUAAAAUCUGUGGUGUUGGGGACUGUGUUCGCGCUUCCCUGA
Molecule: small nuclear RNA, 160 nt
Organism: Pristis pectinata (smalltooth sawfish)
Lineage: Eukaryota; Metazoa; Chordata; Chondrichthyes; Rhinopristiformes; Pristidae
Product: U1 spliceosomal RNA
Exons: 1
Source: RefSeq, a predicted model, not a curated record